RNAcentral lists this ribosomal RNA (557 nucleotides) under Sphingomonas sp. HRRK094. RNAcentral's name for it is "bacterial SSU rRNA". It matches the Rfam family "Bacterial small subunit ribosomal RNA", at positions 102 to 694 of the family's 1533-position model. Lineage: Bacteria; Pseudomonadati; Pseudomonadota; Alphaproteobacteria; Sphingomonadales; Sphingomonadaceae. The record is from RNAcentral.
ACGGGUGCGUAACGCGUGGGAAUCUGCCCUUGGGUUCGGAAUAACUCAGAGAAAUUUGAGCUAAUACCGGAUGAUGUCGAAAGACCAAAGAUUUAUCGCCCAGGGAUGAGCCCGCGUAGGAUUAGCUAGUUGGUGAGGUAAAGGCUCACCAAGGCGACGAUCCUUAGCUGGUCUGAGAGGAUGAUCAGCCACACUGGGACUGAGACACGGCCCAGACUCCUACGGGAGGCAGCAGUGGGGAAUAUUGGACAAUGGGCGAAAGCCUGAUCCAGCAAUGCCGCGUGAGUGAUGAAGGCCUUAGGGUUGUAAAGCUCUUUUACCCGGGAUGAUAAUGACAGUACCGGGAGAAUAAGCCCCGGCUAACUCCGUGCCAGCAGCCGCGGUAAUACGGAGGGGGCUAGCGUUAUUCGGAAUUACUGGGCGUAAAGCGCACGUAGGCGGCUUUGUAAGUCAGAGGUGAAAGCCUGGAGCUCAACUCCAGAACUGCCUUUGAGACUGCAUCGCUUGAAUCCAGGAGAGGUGAGUGGAAUUCCGAGUGUAGAGGUGAAAUUCGUAGA